This 2008-nucleotide long non-coding RNA is filed under the name Phoenix dactylifera (date palm). RNAcentral describes it as "long non-coding RNA (PDAC_LNC004685)". Lineage: Eukaryota; Viridiplantae; Streptophyta; Magnoliopsida; Arecales; Arecaceae. The record is from RNAcentral.
UGAUAUGAUUUUGGGUUAGAUUUAGCUAACCAUGUUUCAUUUAGUUUCAACAAUUUCAACUCCAGUUUCUCAAGGAAAUACAAUAGACAUUGUUUUAAAAUAUAUUACACUUUUGAUGUCCUUUUGGUGGUUUCAAGCUAAAGUUUUAAAACAUCAUUCAGAAGAUUACAAUAUAAAAAAGCUACUCUAACAUUUCAAUGUGUAAUAUAUAUUAGUGUUUGAUGGCAACCGAGAAUUUCUUAACAUUUGAAGUCAAAUAUGAGAAAGCUAUCUAAUCUUUGCAAUUACUCACUUGCCCAGUUUUUCUUUCCUUUUCUCCUUUUCCUUUUGUGGGAGGGGAAGGGAGGCAAGAUGCCCCCAUGUGACUCUUUCACAUUUGAAUAGACUCCUUAACCGAGAUUGGUUUGGAAGAUGCUAAGAAAAUGCAUCCUAUGUCCUAAAAUUUGCAAUUUCAGGUUUAAUCUUAACAAAAUGCUUCUCCUAGGCUUGAUUUCUCACCAAUGAGUAAGUUUCCCCUUUAUUUUCCCAAAGUGAUAAAAAGCUGACCCAAAAAUAAAACUAGCAAGUCUGAAGUACUCAAGGAGACGAAGAACGUGAUCUAGACAUAUCCUUCAAAUCUAGUAACAAGUAAAUCAGGAACUUCAUGUAUAAGGUGAACCAAUUAGCAAGUCAGGCAUGGACCCUCAAGUGUUUUCUUGGAAAAAAUCAUAACUUCACCAUCCCUAUCAGCAGUACAGUGUAGACUGUCAUCAAUUUUACCUCUAUAAAAUGAUUCACUUACAUGGCAAUGAACCUAGAAAAGAAUUGAGAUAUUCAGGCCCUUCUUUAGACAGGAAGGGCAAUGGUGAAAGUAUCACUGCCAAGAUCUAUCCAAAGGAAAGAUCAACACAUUGCUUGCCCGAUAAAGCAGCUUUACAUCAAGUGCUAAUUUUGACCCCUCACCUCAAAACUGGACAUCUAUAAAAAUAUCCGUACGAAAUGCUUCCUGCUACUCCAGAAUUUGCAUGUUAGUCCAGAACUUGAUGCUCAUACCAUUUAACAGGAGAAAAAAGAAGUGGAGACCUUCAAAUGUCAUUGUUUCAUCAGUUCAGCCACCAAUGCUUGAGCCAUGAUCAAGUGCACUAUCACUAAAACUACCAACCCACUACUCACUUCCAGUACUCCUUCUCUUGAAGGCCCUUUCCUUCCAUUGCUCCUUUUUUCUUGGCAGCCUUGGCAAAGGAAUGGACCAUCCCAAGGAUGCAAUUUUCCAGGCUGCGAUAAACCAGCAUGUACAGAAAUGCCCUCACCAGGUUUCAUCUCUACCUGGCAAACCGCACAUAUGAAAAGCUUGAACAAGUUGCAUAUUGGAUAUUCUGCUUCUAANNNNNNNNNNNNNNNNNNNNNNNNNNNNNNNNNNNNNNNNNNNNNNNNNNNNNNNNNNNNNNNNNNNNNNNNNNNNNNNNNNNNNNNNNNNNAAAUGAAUUCUCUAGCAUUUUCUUCCUUACCACCGAAGGAUUUAUUAGUACACGUCGAAAGAUAACCUUCCGAUUCUCUGAUUCAAUCAAAUAUCCCAAAGGCCGAUGAAAGCCCGCCCAAUAGCAAGAAGGCUUUUUCAACGAUACUUAAUGACCAAAACAUUCAUUAAAUAUAGCAUCUACAUACAGUGUCAAUCAUUUCGGCCAAAAAUAGCCAAAAUCACUAACAAAUAUCCAGAUUGUAACUGUAACGGAUUGCUCUAGGCUAAAAGUAGCAUAUAUGAACAGGUUACUAGAAUUUAUACAAUUUCAAAUCUUUGGCUGAAACAUAUUUGUUUAGACCAAAACUACAAACAACAGUUUAUUCUCUUUAGAAAAAAUUAAAAUGGAUGUAUAGGAUAAUCUUUGCAUUGCAUAUGAAUGCAAACAAACAAAACUAAAGUUCCAAUAAUAUGACAUUAUAUAGCAAUGUUAGAGUAUUCAUUCACUUCAUCCACUUAAGUUGUCUUCACAAUUAUAUCACCCCUUCAAUGAAAUAAAUCUAAAUAAGA